This 472-nucleotide ribosomal RNA is filed under the name uncultured bacterium. RNAcentral's name for it is "bacterial SSU rRNA". It matches the Rfam family "Bacterial small subunit ribosomal RNA", at positions 64 to 524 of the family's 1533-position model. The record is from RNAcentral.
GAACGGCAGCAUGAGGUGUAGCAAUACCCUUGAUGGCGAGUGGCGGACGGGUGAGGAAUGCAUCGGAAUCUGCCCAGUCGUGGGGGACAACGCAGGGAAACUUGCGCUAAUACCGCAUACGACCUUCGGGUGAAAGCAGGGGAUCUUCGGACCUUGCGCGAUUGGAUGAGCCGAUGCCGGAUUAGCUAGUUGGCGGGGUAAUGGCCCACCAAGGCGACGAUCCGUAGCUGGUCUGAGAGGAUGAUCAGCCACACUGGGACUGAGACACGGCCCAGACUCCUACGGGAGGCAGCAGUGGGGAAUAUUGGACAAUGGGGGCAACCCUGAUCCAGCAAUGCCGCGUGUGUGAAGAAGGCCUUCGGGUUGUAAAGCACUUUUAUCGGGAACGAAACAUUGUCGGCCAAUACCCGGCAAGACUGACGGUACCCGAGGAAUAAGCACCGGCUAACUCCGUGCCAGCAGCCGCGGUAAU